AUCGAAAAGCGUGGAUGGAUCGAAUCCACGCGCUGGUGGUACGUCGAUAGUACGACGAAAUUUGCGGUCGAUUCGUGUCUGUGUGUGUGUGUGUACGUGUAUACGUCUGUGUGAAUAGCUUCUGCUAUUCAAGGUAAGCUAGGUCGUGAUUAAACGUGGCCGAACCGGGUCGCGGGUAAUUAAUCGGCGGGUGCGAAAACCCGGCCUGUUCUCUCAGUUAUGGAAGAUUUCGUCGAAAUCGUAAUUCCAGCUUAAUUCCUGGUGUAACUCGAAUCCACGAAUUUGUAAAGAUAAACGGGAGCAGUGCGGUCGACACGGCGGAUUAAUUCGAGCGGUGGUGUAAUGGUUAUGAUGGAAUAAGGAUAAUCGCGCCACCUGACGGGAAACGAUACUUUUCGUUCUCGUCACGUCUCUUACUCUCUGCGUUCACGGUGGUUUGUGGUGUUGGUCGAGUUAAAUUUUUCCAAAAGAAAAAGUUUGAAGAAGAAGGAAUAAUCGUUCGAUUCUUUUCUUAAACGCGUAUUUCAAUUGAUUAAUCUAUUGCUUUCAUUCGAUGGUGAAAAUAUAUUAAUAAAAAGUAUAUUUACGUUAAUAACAAAAUAAUAAAGAAGAAAUUUUCAAGUAAGAAGAGAGAAUAAAACAAAAAGAGAAUAGUGGAAUAAAGACAAAAAGUAAAAAUUCAGGAAUCAAGAAGAGUACAUAAAAUAAUAGGAGAAAAAUAGAAAUAGGCUUAAUCUAUUGCCUUCAUUCGAUGAUAAAAAUAUAUCAAUAAUACAUGAAAUUACAUGGAAUAAAUAAAAAAAGUAUACAACAUUCCAAUAAAAAUUUUCCUAUCUUAUCAAUGCACCAUUCGAUAAAAUAAAAAUGUAUUAACAAGUUAUGCUUACUAUAAAACAGUAAGAAGAAUAAAUAAGAAAGGAUGGAGUAAGAAAGUUCAAUAGAAACUUUAAACUUUCCACAUCUUGUCAUUAACAUCUAUCGUCCUCAUAGAAAUUAAUAAAAAAUAAACUUGUGAAGUGGUGAAGAAAGGAUAGAAAAAAAUCUCACGAAAAGACGUCUCUAUGAUUAACGAACCGUAUUUACUUAUGUAAUAAGUAGAAAUAAUAAAAAGGACGUGGAGGGAUGGAUUCGUUAGAGUUGCACGAUAUAAUUUCGCUCGUUUGCGAAACGUCCCUUUCUUCGAGAGCAAUCUAACUUUGCACGGAACGGGCGGCCGGCACUCGCCGUUUUUCCUCAAUGCUGCGAAAUUGCGAAACGUCGUGCACGCGUGUCAACUAAUUGAAAUUUAUAACAUCGAAACAAGUGGAGUGUCCGUAAAUAGAUGUUGCGCAAAAUUUCGUCACUUUUGCCUCGUUGAUCGACAAAAUAAAUGGCUAGAGAAACGGAUACACAUCAUCGGAUCAUUAAUAAUAAGAGGCGUCUAUUUUUCUUCGAAAACGAAAUUUUUAAUUGUUAUUUGUUAAAAUAAAAGUUGAUGCGCGAAAAUAGCGCGAGCCACUUAUUUCGAGUUAUUAGCAAUUUAAAUUCAAACAUUGGAUGAAACGAGUAGAGGAAACAACGACAAACUUCGAUUUGCAGAAGUUUGAUCGUAAUAGUUAUAUUGGAAUAAUGGAAUAAAGGGUGAAUCUUGACUAAGGUUCUCCAAAGUAACACUGGUCUAAAUUCUGGAGGAGUAACCUUAAGGGGGAGUAAGUUGGAAAGCCGAGUAUGUGCAGCCAGGUUGCACGAACUGGCUGGCAUUUUCGCGUUUCAAUGGUCUCUGCUUGAAACUCGGUCAGAGAUAAGUUUGAGAAAGCUGGAUUUUGCAAGUAAAAUCUAAACGCGAGCCUAUCUCCUGUCAUCCGAUCGAAAAUCGUUAGAAAAUGAAAGCAAGGAACGAACGGUGUUGUGCACAGACACUGUUCGACGAGAUAGACUUCGUGGAAAAGAUUUCAUAGUUGCAAAGCUGUAAAUCUGCCAGCAGUACUGGGAAAUGGAGUGAAAUGCCACUUGGCAUUGGUGCAAAGUUUGGCGAUAACUUAGCGCUUCGAACAACCGAAGAUAUCGAAACGUGGAAUAUCUAUUCACCCAUUUAUGAAAUUUAACAAAAUACGAAAAUAUUUUUGACAGACGGGUACAAAUUUUUAUCGCCUCGACCUAUAUAAACUUGCCAAACGUACAAGUAAUAGAACGUUUUAUUGUUGUAACGUAAUAUUUUUUCUUAUCUGUUAAAAAAUUCCGUCCAUUAAAAAAUUAUCGGAACGGAAGUUACGAGAUUAUAAUUCGACGCGAAGCGCGAAAAUUCACGUUAAGAACGAUUACGAAUCCAUUAAACUUCUCUGUAUAUUUUUCAGGUAUCCCCCUUCGGGGAAAGUUUUGAUAUUAAACUACUCGUUGCACGCUUCAGUUUGCUUCGAGUUCUCUAAAUAUUUUUAAAUACCCAGAAGCUGUUUGCCAUUCUCGAGAGUCAAUGUCCGGGGGUUAAGCGGUUGGUUAGUUUAUUCGUGUAUCUCGUUUCUAAGUGUAUAAAGUUUUUGCGCAGUUCAACUUUUAACAAAUGACGUCUUAAACGUUUCCUUCCUUUUUUGCCGUAUUUCACUGUAAGAAAUAGGAAAACGCGUCUUGCCUGGCGAACUUGCAAAAAAAAGAUGGAAAUCUUAUCUCGUCUCGUUAUCUUAUUAUUUGUUGAUUCGUUUAUUAGCACCAGAAAUGUAAUGGCGAAUAAAAUUUAGUUCGCUAGUUAAUAAAUAAUAUAUAUAUA
Molecule: long non-coding RNA, 2740 nt
Organism: Apis cerana (Asiatic honeybee)
Lineage: Eukaryota; Metazoa; Arthropoda; Insecta; Hymenoptera; Apidae
Source: RefSeq, a predicted model, not a curated record